GUAGGUGGCAAGCGUUGUCCGGAAUUAUUGGGCGUAAAGCGCGCGCAGGCGGUUCUUUAAGUCUGAUGUGAAAGCCCACGGCUCAACCGUGGAGGGUCAUUGGAAACUGGAGAACUUGAGUACAGAAGAGGAAAGCGGAAUUCCACGUGUAGCGGUGAAAUGCGUAGAGAUGUGGAGGAACACCAGUGGCGAAGGCGGCUUUUCUGGUCUGUAACUGACGCUGAGGCGCGAAAGCGUGGGGAGCAAACAGGGAUUAGAUACCCUGGUAGUCCACGCCGUAAACGAUGAGUGCUAAGUGUUAGGGGGGGUUUUCCGCCCCCCUUAGUGCUGCAGCUAACGCAUUAAGCACUCCGCCUGGGGAUACGGCCGCAAGGCUG
RNAcentral lists this ribosomal RNA (377 nucleotides) under uncultured organism. RNAcentral's name for it is "partial 16S ribosomal RNA". It matches the Rfam family "Bacterial small subunit ribosomal RNA", at positions 527 to 896 of the family's 1533-position model. The record is from RNAcentral.